GUGGCAGUGGUUAUCCUUUGAAAAACUACUUAAUUAAUUCUUUGUCUCAUCCCCAGACUCUCUCUGAAAAUAGAAUCAAUAUAAGUUAUAAUGGAACUCAAUGAGUGACUGGAAUGAUAAUGAAGAAUGCAUUAGGAAUCCUUCUGAAUGGGACAUGAACGUCCUCUUCAAUCUAGUGGAGACUUACCAUGCCGUCCUUCAGUCCUAGGAACUCUUUGGAGACAUGGUACAAAGUCGAAGAGAAGUGCAUGAAAAGACACCAGGAGUUGGAGAAGACAUUAGUUGCUGGACUCAGAGUAUGAGUACAGUCAUGUAGGGCUCCUUAGGAAUUAGGAGAGUACCAAGGAGGAGAUUCAGUUUCUUUUCUAGAUUACAAGAAACCCCCACAACUUCCCAUUGAUACUGUUGCUGAGAACAAAUUGCCAGUAAGAUGAUAUCUACAGAGCAAGGUGUAGGAGUUCUACAUUUGUGCGUAAGCCCAAUUAUACACAGAACUGUGAAUGAUCUAAACUUGGCAAGAGAAAUAAGGUAUCAUUUUACUACCAGCUGCGCACUCCAUGAAGGCAAGAAGUUCUCAUUCUGUCUGAAUGCUGAUUGGCUUCAGUUUAUAAAGAACCCGUUCCCCUGAAGCUGACUUAUUUACCCUUUUAUUUCUUUUCCUAUAAGCCUAUGUUAAACAAAAACUUGCUUGUCACUAGACAUCUUUUGGCUCACAUGAAAAUCACAGAGCAGAAGUGGAGAGAACUACUUUCUUGAUUAAGCAGUUAGAUCAUUUUUCUUAAAAGUGUCUAGGACUGCAUAUGGUCCAGUGCAUCUUUUCCUCCACAAUGGCCUCCAAAACCCUCCUCAGAAUAAAGUCCUUACUUUCUCAGAUAUCUUUUCA
RNAcentral lists this long non-coding RNA (883 nucleotides) under Vulpes vulpes (red fox). RNAcentral's name for it is "lncRNA (ENSVVUG00000003292.1)". The record is from RNAcentral. Lineage: Eukaryota; Metazoa; Chordata; Mammalia; Carnivora; Canidae.